CCUAACUAUCUGAUACUUUGAUUCCAAGGAAUAAAAAUCCAUGCUAAAUUCCCUUGGCUCCUGGAGUUUUAUAGCAGAUCACCAGCAUCCUGCGGUCUACCCCCUGCAUUAUAUGUAUAGGCAUAGUAAAAAACAAGUGAACAGACUUAUAAAGUCUUAAGAGGAAAAUAAAAAGAAUGGGAGAAAGUCAGCCCUUCUUUGUCUCGCACCGCUCUUAAACUGAGCAAUGGUUAGACACCUCUCCUUUAAAAAAUUGAUGGGAUUUACUUCUGCAUUUCCCAAUGUGUGCCUUUCUGUUCCUCAGAGACAGCAUAUCUUUCAGCCUAUUCAGGACCGUUUCCCCGUAAAUUUGAGAUGUCUUUGAUAUCGUCUUCAUUGAUUCGGUCCCUAAAAAAGUGACAGUAAGUUGACUAUUAAUGGAAAUGGCAUGGCAGUGUCUGCUACAGCUUAACCUCUGUAGAGUGAAAUCUAAAUGAGUUAGACCUGAAUUCUAACAGCCUUAAAAUUCAUUGGCAGUUUCAAAUAAAAUAAACCAAUACCAUUAAUCUACAGAAGAGUGGAUGAUGAUGAUAAAGACUUGAUUUUGAAACAUGCUUGUUCAAUUUCUUUUCCUGCUACAAUUUGAUUGAAUAUUUGACUGAUCACAGAGCAAUAAAGGCUUAUGAGUAGAUAAGCCGUGAUACUCUAUCAGAAGAUAUUAUUCCCUAUUUUUCUGUUAAAAAAACUCGGUCACUUCUUUAGGGACUAGAAAACAAGAUAUGUACUAAUUUCUAAACCUGAAUACAGAAUAUUAAUGAAGGUUAAUUUGCCAGAUGGCUGAAGAAUAUCAACUGAUCACUGGGAAUGUUGUGAAAGUAUAGAGUAUUUCCCAAUUCUACAGCAGCAGGAGAAGCAAUGAAAGAGGAUAUUUAAAGUCAAAUUGUCAAUUUUCAGCCAAUACCUUUGGACUAGCAAUACAAUAUGACCGCUUUGUUGAUGCUCCUACUUGGUCUGUAUUUGUUUUCAGUUCCUUCACUUCCCUCCAUGAAAGCAGUCUGAAAAAACUCCGUUGAAAGACAUAAAUCAGGCUUAAUAUCUUCCAGUGAAGAAUAAACACAUUGUAAAACUCCAGACUGCUUCAAGUCCAACAGUCUGGUUUACAGUCUGACUUAUAAAGUAAAAAGUACUAUAAACCUCAUCCCAUGCAAGAGUAAUGAGCAUUUUUACCAUAAAUUUAAGUUAUAGAAAAUUCUAUUUCUUUUGAAUUUCUGUGCUGUAAUAACUUUUUAGCAAUUAUGUUUGCAAAUUUUUUCUUCUUCCAAAAUGUGAUUCUUGCCAAUAUUUCUUAUAAAUUGAGAAGUUUUAUACACUGGAGGAGAACGAUAUACACUGCUCAGUAUUUUUAUAACAGUUCUCAACAGUCUAUCAAGGGAAAAAAUGCAAGCAUGACAGAAAAUGCAUACUUAAAAGAGUAAGACUCUUUAGAGAUAUUUAAAAAUAUUUCAGGAAAAUUCUUUUAUUUUAGUAUGAAUUGAGCUUUCAUAAUAUGUGUCAGUAGUUCAAAAUUGCCAUUAAAGAUACUUAAAGAAUUGCCUGUUGCUUUCAGUUUAUUUAUCACUGCUUAAAGGCAGAACUUGUAGACAAAAGUGAUGUCAUUAUAUAGGAAAGGAAUGCCAUGGGAGAUUUCAGGAAUUGCAAGUUCUUCCUCCUCAGAGAAGGAGCCCUGAGGUUAUUAGCAAUCUCACCAUAUAGAAUGUCUUCACACCACUGUGUGGUCAGAGAAGAGGACACGUCCGGUAUGAUCAUCCACAGCUGACAACAGUGAAGACAGAGACAUCACAGUAAGCACUUGGGUAUGGAAUUUGUCCUUUUCCUUCUUGAAUGCAGCAUUUUAAGAUGUGUGCAGUCAUAUUUGACAGUUACUGUCAGCAGUGACUUUGUGCCUUAAACUCAUCCAUUCUCACAAAUGCAUAGCCUGAUACAGGAGGAGUGAGCUUGUAUAUAGGAUACGCAAAGCACAAAUCAUCACUCACAGCACAGAUGAACAAUGCUGAUUGUAUUAAUUUCAUCAGAUCACAGAGACAGGAGUACACGGGAGUCCAUUCACACAAUCAGCAAAGCAUUCCAUUGGAGACUUCUGUUAUUCACCUAUAUCCAGGUGAAAGCACCAAAGUUCAGUAACACUUCAGAUGCAGCAAGUAAGUCAGAUGCAUCAAGACUGAGUGCUGUGCUUGUCAAGGGACUGUUCCUAGAAAGUCUAAACCCAGUAACAUAGCAGGCAAGGGAACAACUUAAAGUGUCGUGCUUUUGACAGUCCUUACUUACAAAGCAAGGUGAAGUCUUGGCCAUAACUUUCAACUUCAUGCAGAGGAGCAAAAAAUCACUCUGUGGGGUACAGAAAAGUAAGAGUGUGUUGACAGAAGAAACAAAUGCUGAAACAUCUUCAUCUGUCUUUUAGUGUAUAAUACAUCCUGUGCACUUAUAUACUCUGCUCUCACUGAGUUUGUUACUGGUCAAGUCAUAAGGGGAAAAUCUGUAUUUUUUUAUGUUCUUUGUAUCUCAUUUAUCUGAUCCCUUCAUUGCAUCCAAGCAACUCAGCCAUUGUCAUUUUUGUGGAUAAGGAUUCAAAGAGCUAUAGCAAUCCACACUGGUAUGGUCCUUUUCCCCCUCCAAUGAAAAAUCAAAACAAACCCAGUGUGAUCCUAACAUUUUCUUCUUCAUUGCACUGGGAGACAGCCAAACCUUACCUACAGAUGCUAUUGAUGAGAUUCAUAUAUCAUAAUCAAAAUGGGAAAAAAAUCUCUGUAUUCUUAGGAAUGCAUUGUAAAAUAGGAUAAACAAAGAACAGCUUAAAAGACCUACUAAAUCAUUUGUACCAUUGAUAAAAAGCAAAGACCGUUUAACUUUCCACUGAUGCUGAAAGCUGUUUUGUCUGUUCUGUUUGGCAGAAGGUUAUGGGUAAUGAACUACACAAAAUGCUGGUCUACCUGCUCAGAAUGCAAUUUUGUAAUAAUAUCACUAACAGAAUCCUUAUGUUCCUUUUAGAUGCACCUUUCUCCCAGCUGAAGGAUAUAGGCCAGAUCCAAACAAUGGCAGAGGACUUCUGUGUAUUGCAGUUUAUGUAAAUGCUCCUUCUGCUACACACUUCAUCGCUAGGAAUGAGGCAUUACAUCAGAAGCCUAGAGAGUUGUUCGAAGACAGAAAAUGUUUCCAGCAGACAAGUCGAAGGCAGAGAAGGAAAUAAUAAACAUCAAAAACUAUACAAUGUCAGUAUGAUCAUUUCAUACUGUCCCUCCAGACUUCACUACACUUCCAGACACUUUUACAACUGUGACGACUGACAGCAUUUCAACAGUUACAGAUUGUUUAUCAGCCCUCCAGCUGUUCCGUCAGAGAGUAGGAAAACACCCGUGAAGAAGGCCAUUCCUAGUGACAGCAGCAUGACCAUUCCUGACAGCAGCAUGAAUUCAGUGCAUUGGGGUCAUCGUAUCCUGGAACUUUGCCCAUCAUUUUUUUCUGAGGAUUCAGUAGAUACCAAAAUAGCUAUUAUAUUUAGUUGCUUAUCUGCUUUUGUCUGCAGUGCAGAACUUGUAAAAAUGUCUUUCAUUCUGAGGCUUAACACAUUAAAUAUCACCUGAUCUGAAGAUGUUUGAGAAUGUAGAGCCUUUUGCAUAGA
Molecule: long non-coding RNA, 3655 nt
Organism: Cuculus canorus (common cuckoo)
Lineage: Eukaryota; Metazoa; Chordata; Aves; Cuculiformes; Cuculidae
Exons: 4
Source: RefSeq, a predicted model, not a curated record